CAACGACAACUAAGAAGCUGCUGGCACCAAGAUAGAUGCUCAUCAAAGUACACGCCAAGAUUCUUCACAACCCUACUGUAUGGUAUUUUUACUCCGUCAAUAGACACCGAUGGUAAAGUAC
Molecule: long non-coding RNA, 121 nt
Organism: Aricia agestis (brown argus)
Lineage: Eukaryota; Metazoa; Arthropoda; Insecta; Lepidoptera; Lycaenidae
Exons: 3
Source: RefSeq, a predicted model, not a curated record